UAUCAUGCAUACAUCGAAAGCUCUGAUUGGUCGAAAAAUUUGGGGACAAUUUUUUUUUGGCAUCGGGUAUUCUCCUUCACACGACUCUCUUCUCUCUUCUUCUUCCCAGAUGAUUUUCAGUUCGGAGAAAACUCUUAAUCACGCCGCCGUAGACUUCUAAUCCCAUCAUCAAGAUCCAUUCCAAGCAUCCGGCUGGGAUGUGCUCGUAAUUGUUGUUUGCUCAUUGGAAAAGUAGUUUGAUAAAGAUGACUCAGAUCAUGGAAAUUCAGGAUUGUAUACACGGUGCUGAAGAAGCAAGACGAAGCUCUUUAUGGAUCUCAGAAAUCUGGUCUUACUUCUUCAGGCAUUAAUCCCUCAAUCCUCCGGCUGGGUUUGUGAACAUCGCCAACAGAUGGCUGGAUCAAAAAGUUGAAGAAGAAUGCUUGAUACUUGGUAAUCUGGAACAUGAGUUUGUUGGUUUUGAGUUGCAGGCUUUUCCUUGCUUUGAAUCUGUAGCUAUUUGGAACAAUGGAUCUUUGUAUAUAGUUGAUGAACUGUUUUUGUCUUC
Molecule: long non-coding RNA, 547 nt
Organism: Eutrema salsugineum
Lineage: Eukaryota; Viridiplantae; Streptophyta; Magnoliopsida; Brassicales; Brassicaceae
Exons: 2
Source: RefSeq, a predicted model, not a curated record